Molecule: small RNA, 2765 nt
Filed under: Arabidopsis thaliana (thale cress)
Lineage: Eukaryota; Viridiplantae; Streptophyta; Magnoliopsida; Brassicales; Brassicaceae
Description: ATSL273560
Source: RNAcentral
AAAAAUGUGAAGUACAUGCUACUUAUAGCCAAAUAUUCCGAAACCCUAAUACUCAAAACGACGAAGUAUUGGGACGGAUUAAGAAUUGUACUCGACCCAUGUGGUCGAGUGGGAGGUCGAGUGAUUAGCUGGAGUCUUCUUUUCUUCUUUGUGCUCGAGUGUCUAGUUGAGUGCGGAAUGAAGAAGGCUCUGAAGCUUGUCAUCGAGUAUGCAGUCGAGUGGUGUGAUGGUGAUACUCGACUUCCAGGUAGAGUGAGGAGGUCGAGUAGUGGUCUAGCAAUGGGAUGAAGUCACUCAACCUGGUGGUCGAGUGAUGUGAACGAGUGGUGGUCAGAAGAUGGGGAUGAAGUCACUCGGCCUGGGGGUCGAGUGAUGUGAUCGAGUGGUGGUCAGAAGAUGGAGAUGAAGUCACUCGACCUGGGGGUCGAGUGAUGUGAUCGAGUGGUGGUGUCUUCUACUCGACCUGAGGGUCGAGUGGUCUCUUGAGAUCCUGAAGCUCCUACUCGACCUCUGGGUCGAGUGGUUUGUCAUGAUCAGGUCCGCUUCUUCCAGUUAGCUCGUCGACGACUCCAAAUCACCUGAAAACAACACAAAUACGCAACAUGCAUGCAAAACUAUCCUAAACAUGCAAAGUGAUGACAAAUGAUGUGAAAUGGUAUAAAACAGUGAUGAUAUGAUGCUAAAAUGAUGACAAAUGGAUGCUCAAAACAUGCAAAAUACACACUUCUCAACUCCCCCAAACUUAGUCUUUGCUUACCCUCAAACAAACAAUCAAGAACAAGCUGGAGGUGAGGUUUGAAAGCGGGGACUCAGAGCCAAAGCACCAGAUGAACCAGAUGAAAUCAAUGUCCAAGUUGAAAGUUCUAAGCUGCAAGAUCGAAUUCUACUUAAAAACGUUAGCCAUGCCUCAUCAUCAAUCAAUCCGACUCAUAUGCUCGACCUGCACAAGUUUUCAAAUCUACCAACCCCUUUAACAUUCAUUAGUUCUGGAACGUGAAUCAAGCAAUGCAUCAUCAAAGAACUCAUUCGGCUAAGGUAAAAGGUCAAGAGACAAAGAUGGUCCCUUACAGAAUAGGCUUCAGUAACAGGGGAUCUCUCAAAAAAAAAUUAAGCUUUAGUUGAAUGCUAAAGGUAAGUCCCAAGCUAUGCAUACAGAGAUAAGAUCCCAUCUACCUAGAGUACAUCAAAUGAAGCUCUAAUAGUAAUCCCAUCUCCAAUCCCAAUACAAGAACUAAAUUCUACCCUUUGCAUUCAUGAAUCUUUUAAGCCCUUUUUCUAAUCAUUCUUUUCUUUUGUCUUAACUCUAGGAGAAGCUUUCUCAACACUUUGAUACAUCUAGCGGAUUUGGAUUUCUUUAACAACUAAGGUUCCUGUUUUUAACAUUUUAAAACCAAGGGCUUUCGCCCAUCUUCAAUAGCUAACAAGAACUCUUUCUUUUCUUUUCAAAUCCCAAAACCUUUACUAGACUUUUUCUGUUUCUUUAGCUUACUUCACCUAGAGUCUUUUACCUUUUCUUAUCAAUGAAUCAACCCUUUUUUUUUCUUUUAAACACAUCCCAACCCAAAGUAUAAGCGCCCACCUAGUCCUAUCUAGUCCGAAAAAUGCGAACUAGAACUACAUGAGACACUAUCUUUGUCGUUACGAACCUAACACUUUCUACCAAGCUUAAUCGGAAUAAGACCUCACAAACACUCACAAGUGAUAUAGGGAUUGAAAGAAAGUCUAGGUUUGGGUUUGGGUUAACUGCUCUAAUAAGGAGAGUCAGCUACUUGGAUUAACAAGAGUGAUCUAAAUGAAUAAGAAAAUCCAAGUAUUUUAGGGUAUCCAUGAGUUCAAAUUUGAUGCAGACAUAAUAAUUAAAGAUCAGAUUCAGGUUCAAAUUGAUAGGGAAUGGUAUCAGAUCAUGAUAGUGUGGUCGAGUAGAGCAAUCUAGGCAUGGUUCAGUUUUAUUUCAAAUUCAUUGACUACGCAACAGACAACUAGCAAUGAUGGCACUGAGUUUAUCCGGUGAAUCAAAAUGCUUACAAGGCUAUCUCAUCAUCAUCCCCUAUGCAUAUGCAACAAUCCUAAAUGAAACACUCUAGACUCGAUCCUAAAUGUAAUGCAACUACAUGAACACUCUAUUUUUGUGAAAUCAUUUUCUGAAAUUUUUCAAAUUUUUUUGGUUUUUCUAUGCCUUAGAUGAAUGCAGACUCAAAAAUAUACACAAUGCAACACACACUUCCUGAGCCCUCUCCCAAACUUAAAUCACACAGUCCACUGUGUGAAUAAACUUGGAAGAGAGUACUCAGGAUAAAUCCAAUCACAGAAACAAAAAAUGAAGAAACAAAUCACAACAGAUGAUAUAAUACAAUGAUGAAGUGAGGCGCUUACCUCAGUCGAAGAAUGAACGUAGUUGCUCGUCAAUGGCUGCCUGUGAUUGCUCCCAGGCCAUAGACGAACCGCCCUGUUCUAUCUCAGCUCCAGCAUGUGGGUACUCGACCUCAGUGCCUCUAUGGCGGCCAGCACCGCCAUGAGUAUACUCGACCUCCAUUCUUCUGCUGCGGCCAGCACCGCAGUCGAGUGAUCUCCUGCCGUGGAUAAACUAAAACAUGGUCGAGUAUCCUUCAUUGCUCUGUGGUCGAGUAUAGUGUUGUACUCUCAGAGCUAGAAUCCACUUCACUCAUCUCUUUAUACUUAUCUCCUGAAAACACUAACCAAAUGCAUCAAAAACAACAAGGAAAAAUAAAGACAUGUACAAAGAUAGACAUGGGAUUUGCUCCUAC